AUUGAACGCUGGCGGCAUGCUUUACACAUGCAAGUCGAACGGCAGCGCGGGCUUCGGCCUGGCGGCGGGUGGGGAACGGGUGAGUAAUGCAUCGGAACGUGGCCAGGAGUGGGGGAUAGCCCGGCGAAAGCCGGAUUAAUACCGCAUACGACCUGAGGGGGAAAGCGGGGGGCCGAAAGGGCUCGCGCCUUUGGAGCGGGCGAUGUCGGGUUUGCUAGUUGGUGGGGUAAAGGCUUACCAAGGCGACGAUCCGUAGCUGGUCUGAGAGGACGACCAGCCACACUGGGACUGAGACACGGCCCAGACUCCUACGGGAGGCAGCAGUGGGGAAUUUUGGACAAUGGGGGCAACCCUGAUCCAGCCAUGCCGCGUGCGGGAAGAAGGCCUUCGGGUUGUAAACCGCUUUUGUUCGGGAAGAAAUCCUCUGGGCUAAUACCCCGGGGGGAUGACGGUACCGGAAGAAUAAGCACCGGCUAACUACGUG
RNAcentral lists this ribosomal RNA (484 nucleotides) under uncultured bacterium. RNAcentral's name for it is "partial 16S ribosomal RNA". It matches the Rfam family "Bacterial small subunit ribosomal RNA", at positions 28 to 507 of the family's 1533-position model. The record is from RNAcentral.